RNAcentral lists this ribosomal RNA (517 nucleotides) under Kata sp. 214385930. RNAcentral describes it as "SSU rRNA". It matches the Rfam family "Eukaryotic small subunit ribosomal RNA", at positions 78 to 588 of the family's 1831-position model. Lineage: Eukaryota; Metazoa; Platyhelminthes; Proseriata; Otoplanidae. The record is from RNAcentral.
AAAGUGAAACCGCGAAUGGCUCAUUAAAUCAGCUAUGAUUUCUUAGAUCGUAUAUCCUUAUUUGGAUAACUGUAGUAAUUCUAGAGCUAAUACAUGCCUCGAAGUCUUGGCCUCACGGUGGGACGCACUUAUUAGAUCAAAAUCAACCGGGUUUCGGCCUGAGAUUUUGAUGACUCUGGAUAAUCUUUUCUACAGAUCGUAUGGCCUUGUGUCGACGACAGAUCUUUGAAAUGUCUGCCCUAUCAACUGUAGAUGGUAGGAUAUUUGCCUACCAUGGUGAUAACGGGUAACGGGGAAUCAGGGUUCGAUUCCGGAGAGGGAGCCUGAGAAAUAGCUACCACAUCCAAGGAAGGCAGCAGGCGCGCAAAUUACCCACUCCCGGCUCGGGGAGGUAGUGACAAAAAAUAACGAUACGGGACUCAUUCGAGGCCCCGUAAUCGGAAUGAGAACACUUUAAAUCCUUUAACGAGGAUCAAUUGGAGGGCAAGUCUGGUGCCAGCAGCCGCGGUAAUCCCAG